This is a long non-coding RNA of Homo sapiens (human), 877 nucleotides long. RefSeq lists it as uncharacterized. The transcript is spliced from 3 exons. Lineage: Eukaryota; Metazoa; Chordata; Mammalia; Primates; Hominidae. The record is from RefSeq and is a predicted model, not a curated record.
UGGCCAUGUCCAGCUGCCUCACAGUGCUCCAGGGAACCCCAUUCUUCCAACAAUCCAGUCCUGUGCUCCUUCCAGCCUCUCUUUCUGCUCUGCCCUCUCCCCCACGCCCCGGGGCGCAGGCCACACACAUCUGUGCCUUGAGACCUCUGCACUGCUAGGCAGAGAGCCCAGGCCAGGGUGGCUGUGGGAUGGUGGGGACACUGUUGGGGGAGUGAGAGAUUAAUUAAGGAAAUGCGUGUGCUUUACUUUGUUGCCUCAAGUUUCCCAUGCUUGGUGUCCUCUCAGAAGCUUCCUUCACUCUCCUGACCCCUGCCCAGCCAGGCAGGACCAAGCUUGGUCUACCUCUGAGAUCUACCUGCCUCUCCCCCAGAGUGAGGAGCCCAUUCUAGGACCCCCACAGCCCCUGGCUGCUCCAUCAGGACGCUGCCUGUCUGUUUGUGAGAGGAGGGAUGAGUCUGACUUCCCUGUGGGUCCCGAGAGGACGGCACCGCAGGCGGUUCCUGCGGGCUCCUGGACGAGCUAAUGAGGAAUUCCAUGCAGCAGCAUCCAGCCCCAGGCUGAGCGUGAACACCGGCCCCCUCCCCCAGCGGGAGCCACCGCCUGUGAGGGCCCUGCCCUGCCUGCUCGCUGGCGCAAUGGCUUACUCUUCUGAUUGAGCCCGUCUUCUUGUGUGAUGGAGAUGACACCUCCUGGAGGACCCAGCAGCCUCAGAAGCCAUCAUCUCUCUGGGACUUUACUGUUCCCCAGACACCUGAACACCCAGCCCAGUGGAUCCUUAACCUUCUGAGUGAAGCACUGUGGAGUUCCACUGCGAGCCACAUUUGUAAUUUAGAAUUUUCUAGUGGUCACAUUAAAAAGUAAAAAGAAACAGGUGAAA